RNAcentral lists this transfer RNA (67 nucleotides) under Marmota monax (woodchuck). Its description in RNAcentral is "tRNA.Ser". The stretch from base 6 to 62 matches the Rfam family "tRNA", at positions 8 to 63 of the family's 71-position model. Rfam says of the family: Transfer RNA (tRNA) molecules are approximately 80 nucleotides in length. Their secondary structure includes four short double-helical elements and three loops (D, anti-codon, and T loops). Lineage: Eukaryota; Metazoa; Chordata; Mammalia; Rodentia; Sciuridae. The record is from RNAcentral.
GGCUAUAGCUCGAUGGUAGAGCGCUUGCCUCGAAGGUAUGAAGCCCUGGGUUCAAUUCUCAGCACCA